RNAcentral lists this long non-coding RNA (218 nucleotides) under Capsicum annuum. RNAcentral describes it as "long non-coding RNA (CANN_LNC013210)". Lineage: Eukaryota; Viridiplantae; Streptophyta; Magnoliopsida; Solanales; Solanaceae. The record is from RNAcentral.
CCGUCUUUAAAAUCUUUAUCAGAAAAAUCCAAAAGGUCAUCAACUUUAAAAUCAUUAUUUGCUCCAUUAUUAAUCCCUGUUACACACCAUAGAUCAUCAAUAAAAACUUGUUGGGUACUUUUCAUAGCCAUAUCUGAAAGAAGACUAGGUUUCAAUGCUCUUUCUUCAAUCAACUUCAUGAGAAAAAAUAAGCACAAAAUUGAAAACUAGGACAAAAG